GGGUAUCGAACUCAAUGCAAACAGAAGAACGUGUGACGAUAUCAACGAGUGCCGCGAGCAGGACGUGCAGUGUGGCAGGGACCAACUCUGCUUCAAUCUCCGGGGUUCGUACAAGUGUGGUGUCCGCGCCCUGCCCGCCCGAAUACCAGAGAGACCCAGCCACAGGCUCGUGCAUCCUGGACUGCCGGUGGGGUAAGAACAACUGCCCCCCGGCGUG
Molecule: long non-coding RNA, 217 nt
Organism: Penaeus monodon (black tiger shrimp)
Lineage: Eukaryota; Metazoa; Arthropoda; Malacostraca; Decapoda; Penaeidae
Exons: 3
Source: RefSeq, a predicted model, not a curated record